This 729-nucleotide ribosomal RNA is filed under the name Triticum aestivum (bread wheat). RNAcentral's name for it is "partial small subunit ribosomal RNA". The record is from RNAcentral. Lineage: Eukaryota; Viridiplantae; Streptophyta; Magnoliopsida; Poales; Poaceae.
AUGACGGUGUGCUGGCGGCCACGGGAGCAUCAGGACGGUGCGAAACACUGUGUGGCUGGCUUUGGGAUGAAAAAAACAUUCUUCCAUCCCCACGGCCGGCCGCCCCCUCGCCGCCGGCUGCUGCCAGCGCAGUCCGGCGUCUCGCAGCGGUGGUCACCAGACUCCGGCCCCAUCAUCGCCUCCCUCCUCUGCUCGCCCGCCCCCACUCCACGCCUUCCCUUGCCGCCUGCCGCCUGCCGCCUGCCGCCCGCUCGACUCCCUCCUCUCCUCGCCGCGCCCGCCCACGCCCGCACCCCUCCUCUGUCCUCUCCCUCCCUGAAUGCCACCGCCUCCCGCCCUCCUCCGUGCCAAGCAAGCCUCUUUCGCGCCCCCCACUCUUCCCCCGCCCAGGCAGCCGGACUCUCUCCUGGCCUCCUCCCUCGCCUCCCUCGCCGCGUUCAACUCCCCCCUUGGCCGCGCUCGCCCGCGUCUGUCCGUGACCUCCCUGGCAUGACCCAGCUCUUUUCCUCCAUGCGGGACGCCACCGUCCGGCCCGGCGUUGUCACGCCCGCACACUCGUCAUGGGGCUCUGCCAAGCCGGCCGCGCUCAGGGCGCUCGACGGAAUGCCCGGCCCAAACUCGGGCGUUCGCCCGGCUCGGAUGUCGUCAUUCAUGCCGAACACGGUCGUGGAUGGGGUGUGCGAGAGCGGGAGGAUCCAGGCGGCCGUUGCGUUCAUGGAGGACUGCUGA